This 250-nucleotide ribosomal RNA is filed under the name uncultured bacterium. RNAcentral's name for it is "partial 16S ribosomal RNA". It matches the Rfam family "Bacterial small subunit ribosomal RNA", at positions 29 to 258 of the family's 1533-position model. The record is from RNAcentral.
AAUGAACGCUGGCGGCGUGGUUAAGACAUGCAAGUCGAACGGUUUUCGUUGAAGGGCAACUGGAUACGAAAGCAGUGGCGAACGGGUGCGUAACACGUGAACAAUCUACCUCCAAGUGGGGAAUAGCUCGCCGAAAGGCGAAUUAAUACCGCAUGUGGUCGAGGCUCGCAUGAGCCUUGAACUAAAGUCGGGGACCGCAAGGCCUGACGCUAGGAGAGGAGUUCGCGGCCUAUCAGCUAGUUGGCGAGGU